GAUGAACGCUAGCGGCAGGCCUAACACAUGCAAGUCGAGGGAGAGGUUACCUUCGGGUAACCAAAACCGGCGCACGGGUGCGUAACGCGUAUACAAUCUGCCUUUCACAUAGGGAUAGCCCGAAGAAAUUUGGAUUAAUACCUAAUGGUAUAUAAGAGCGGCAUCGUUUUUAUAUUAAAGCUACGGUGGUGAAAGAUGAGUAUGCGUUCUAUUAGCUAGUUGGAGAGGUAACGGCUCCCCAAGGCGACGAUAGAUAGGGGUUCUGAGAGGGAUGUCCCCCACACUGGGACUGAGAUACGGACCAGACUCCUACGGGAGGCAGCAGUGAGGAAUAUUGGACAAUGGUCGGAAGACUGAUCCAGCCAUGCCGCGUGCAGGAUGAAGGUCCUAUGGAUUGUAAACUGCUUUUGUAAGGGAAGAAUAAGGAGUACGUGUACUUUGAUGACGGUACCUUACGAAUAAGCAUCGGCUAACUCCGUG
RNAcentral lists this ribosomal RNA (480 nucleotides) under uncultured bacterium. Its description in RNAcentral is "partial 16S ribosomal RNA". It matches the Rfam family "Bacterial small subunit ribosomal RNA", at positions 28 to 507 of the family's 1533-position model. The record is from RNAcentral.